AAAUUUAUGCAGUGGCAGUGUUGUAGCCAAUGAGGUUUAUCGAAGGCAUGUUUACUGCUAAUUGAAUUCUUUUCCUAAUGCCCCACCAUGAUGACUUGAAAUAUAAUCAUCAUUUGCAAUUACUUUCAAAUAAG
RNAcentral lists this small nuclear RNA (134 nucleotides) under Salvator merianae (Argentine black and white tegu). Its description in RNAcentral is "U4 spliceosomal RNA (ENSSMRG00000010592.1)". It matches the Rfam family "U4 spliceosomal RNA". Rfam says of the family: U4 small nuclear RNA (U4 snRNA) is a component of the major U2-dependent spliceosome. The structure of U4 snRNA from yeast and human has been reported. The record is from Rfam by way of RNAcentral. Lineage: Eukaryota; Metazoa; Chordata; Lepidosauria; Squamata; Teiidae.